GACGAACGCUGGCGGCGUGCUUAACACAUGCAAGUCGAGCGGUAAGGCCCUUUCGGGGGUACACGAGCGGCGAACGGGUGAGUAACACGUGGGUGACCUGCCCUCAGCUCUGGGAUAAGCCUGGGAAACUGGGUCUAAUACUGGAUAUGACUCCACGGUGCAUGUCGUGGGGUGGAAAGCCUUGCGCGGCUGAGGAUGGGCCCGCGGCCUAUCAGCUUGUUGGUGGGGUGAGGCCUACCAAGGCGACGACGGGUAGCCGGCCUGAGAGGGCGACCGGCCACACUGGGACUGAGACACGGCCCAGACUCCUACGGGAGGCAGCAGUGGGGAAUCUUGCGCAAUGGGCGAAAGCCUGACGCAGCGACGCCGCGUGAGGGAUGACGGCCUCGG
RNAcentral lists this ribosomal RNA (390 nucleotides) under uncultured bacterium. RNAcentral describes it as "bacterial SSU rRNA". It matches the Rfam family "Bacterial small subunit ribosomal RNA", at positions 28 to 420 of the family's 1533-position model. The record is from RNAcentral.